AUUUAAAUAGCUUAAUAUAGAGCAUAGUAUUGAAGAUACUAGGGUAGUUCGAAACUUUUAAAUA
RNAcentral lists this transfer RNA (64 nucleotides) under Scolytinae sp. BMNH 1274277. RNAcentral describes it as "tRNA-Phe". The record is from RNAcentral. Lineage: Eukaryota; Metazoa; Arthropoda; Insecta; Coleoptera; Curculionidae.